This 143-nucleotide microRNA precursor is filed under the name Gossypium hirsutum (cotton). RNAcentral's name for it is "MIR7502 microRNA precursor family". It matches the Rfam family "MIR7502 microRNA precursor family". RNAcentral also lists the same sequence under 1 other name. Lineage: Eukaryota; Viridiplantae; Streptophyta; Magnoliopsida; Malvales; Malvaceae. The record is from Rfam by way of RNAcentral.
UCUUAAAAAUUCUAUCCAUUUUUAUUGUUAAAAUAUAGUGUAGAUGACUAAAAAAUAAACAAUUACACAUGCCGUGCCACAGUAACUCUUGCUAACAUAUAGUUGUCUAUUUUUAGCCGUAACAAUAAAUAAAAUUUUUAACA